RNAcentral lists this transfer RNA (72 nucleotides) under Candidatus Woesearchaeota archaeon. Its description in RNAcentral is "tRNA-Asn". It matches the Rfam family "tRNA". Rfam says of the family: Transfer RNA (tRNA) molecules are approximately 80 nucleotides in length. Their secondary structure includes four short double-helical elements and three loops (D, anti-codon, and T loops). The record is from RNAcentral. Lineage: Archaea; Nanobdellati; Candidatus Woesearchaeota.
GCCCCGGUAGCUCAAUGGUGGAGCACACGGCUGUUAACCGUGAGGUUGUGGGUUCGAGUCCCACCUGGGGCG